Molecule: ribosomal RNA, 478 nt
Filed under: uncultured bacterium
Lineage: Bacteria
Description: bacterial SSU rRNA
Rfam family: Bacterial small subunit ribosomal RNA
Source: RNAcentral
AACGAACGCUGGCGGCAUGCCUAACACAUGCAAGUCGAACGGGAUCCUAGCUUGCUAGGUGAGAGUGGCGGACGGGUGAGUAACACGUGGGAAUCUGCCUUUUGGUUCGGGAUAACCGCGGGAAACUGCGGCUAAUACCGAAUGCCCUCGUGAGAGGAAAGAUUUAUCGCCAGAAGAGGAGCCCGCGUCCGAUUAGGUAGUUGGUGGGGUAAAGGCCUACCAAGCCGACGAUCGGUAGCUGGUCUGAGAGGAUGAUCAGCCACACUGGGACUGAGAUACGGCCCAGACUCCUACGGGAGGCAGCAGUGGGGAAUAUUGGACAAUGGGGGCAACCCUGAUCCAGCAAUGCCGCGUGAGUGAUGAAGGCCCUAUGGGUUGUAAACUGCUUUUAUACAAGAGAAAACCCUGGUACGUGUGCCAGGUUGAUAGUAUUGUAAGAAUAAGCAUCGGCUAACUUCGUGCCAGCAGCCGCGGUAAU